RNAcentral lists this unclassified non-coding RNA (241 nucleotides) under uncultured Agaricomycetes. RNAcentral's name for it is "sequence contains ITS1". The record is from RNAcentral. Lineage: Eukaryota; Fungi; Basidiomycota; Agaricomycetes.
UUGAAUAAACUUGGAUAGGUUGCUGCUGGCCCUAAAGGCAUGUGCACACCUAUUCCACUUUUAAUCCCCUGUGCACAAUGUGUAGACCUGAAUAAUCUUCGAGAAAUUGUCUCGGUCUGAGAGAUGCUGUGUGAAAGCAUGGCUUCUCUUGUCUUUCAGGUCUAUGUUUUUCAUAUUUACCCCACACAGUGUAGAAGAAUGUUUAUGUAUUUGGGUUAAUUGUACCCUUAACAAUCAAAUA